This 84-nucleotide transfer RNA is filed under the name Exophiala xenobiotica. RNAcentral describes it as "tRNA-Leu (GAG) (tRNA-Leu-GAG-1-1)". It matches the Rfam family "tRNA". Rfam says of the family: Transfer RNA (tRNA) molecules are approximately 80 nucleotides in length. Their secondary structure includes four short double-helical elements and three loops (D, anti-codon, and T loops). Lineage: Eukaryota; Fungi; Ascomycota; Eurotiomycetes; Chaetothyriales; Herpotrichiellaceae. The record is from RNAcentral.
UCCCCGAUGGUCUAGUGGUCAUGAGUCAGUCUCUCCUCACUUUCUGAGACAUAGGAGACCAGGGUUCGAUUCCCUGUCGAGGAG